UACAGAGGUCUCAAGCGUUGUUCGGAUUCAUUGGGCGUAAAGGGCGCGUAGGCUGCGGGGUAAGUCGGGUGUGAAAUCUCAGGGCUCAACCCUGAAACUGCACUCGAUACUGCUCUGCUUGAGGACUGGAGAGGAGACUGGAAUUCACGGUGGAGCGGUGAAAUGCGUAGAGAUUGGAAAGAACACCGAUGGCGAAGGCACUUUACUGGGCUAUUACUAACACUCAGAGACGAAAGCUAUGGUAGCAAAUGGG
This 253-nucleotide ribosomal RNA is filed under the name uncultured bacterium. RNAcentral's name for it is "partial 16S ribosomal RNA". It matches the Rfam family "Bacterial small subunit ribosomal RNA", at positions 524 to 776 of the family's 1533-position model. The record is from RNAcentral.